RNAcentral lists this ribosomal RNA (109 nucleotides) under Scophthalmus maximus (turbot). Lineage: Eukaryota; Metazoa; Chordata; Actinopteri; Pleuronectiformes; Scophthalmidae. The record is from RNAcentral.
GCUUACGGCCACACCGCCUGGUACACGCUUGAUCUCGGAAGAUAAGAUAGGUUGGGCCUGGUUAGUACUUGGAUGGGAGACCGCCUGGGAAUACCAGGUGCUGUAAGCU